Molecule: ribosomal RNA, 252 nt
Filed under: uncultured bacterium
Lineage: Bacteria
Description: partial 16S ribosomal RNA
Rfam family: Bacterial small subunit ribosomal RNA
Source: RNAcentral
UACGUAGGGGGCAAGCGUUGUCCGGAUUUAUUGGGCGUAAAGAGCGUGUAGGCGGCCAAGCAGGUCAGCUGUGAAAACUCGAGGCUCAACCUCGAGACGUCGGUUGAAACCGCUUGGCUAGAGUCCGGAAGAGGAGAGUGGAAUUCCUGGUGUAGCGGUGAAAUGCGCAGAUAUCGGGAAGAACACCCGUGGCGAAGGCGGCUCUCUGGGACGGUACUGACGCUGAGACGCGAAAGCGUGGGAGCGAACAGG